AUACUUAGUCAAGAUCAUUGCUAUAGUAUUUGUGAUGUUUUAUUGUUAUAAAAUAACGGAUAUUACAAAAGUGAUGAUGAAAUGACGCUACUCACAAAUGAAUUUUAAUUUCGAUAUUUUUUCAUUAUCUUUUGAUAUUGUUAAAGUAUCCGAAAAAAAGAUGAUAACUUUAUAACAAUUUUAAGAUCUUCUUAUUUUUGUUAUUAAAUUUUUAGAGUAUGUCGUCCGCUGAACUUCCGACUUUAUUAUAUAUGUAUAUAUAUAUUUUAUUUUGGGGGUGUUUUAAAAUAUUAUAUUGAU
Plasmodium berghei ANKA is the source of this 300-nucleotide small nucleolar RNA. RefSeq annotates it as ACEA small nucleolar RNA U3. Lineage: Eukaryota; Apicomplexa; Aconoidasida; Haemosporida; Plasmodiidae. The record is from RefSeq and is a predicted model, not a curated record. The transcript has a single exon.